This 254-nucleotide long non-coding RNA is filed under the name Dermacentor andersoni. RNAcentral's name for it is "uncharacterized LOC126539591". The record is from RNAcentral. Lineage: Eukaryota; Metazoa; Arthropoda; Arachnida; Ixodida; Ixodidae.
CACAUAACCCGUGGCAAUGGCUGCAGCAGCACGGCGUGUAAUCUGGAUGGACAUGUCAGGGUACACGUGCACUUACUUCAAGAUGACGACACUCCACCUCAAGAACAGCCUCUCCUCAAUGAUAAGUAGCGAGAUUAAAUGAAAGGAAGAUAUCACAUCCGUAACCAGACUGAUACUGUGUUUUCCUUUCAUUUAACCUCCUUCUGCAUUUAAGCAAGCAUUGAUAUGCCCAAUAAAUGUUUUUGUUAAAUUUC